RNAcentral lists this ribosomal RNA (313 nucleotides) under uncultured Prevotella sp. RNAcentral's name for it is "bacterial SSU rRNA". It matches the Rfam family "Bacterial small subunit ribosomal RNA", at positions 355 to 665 of the family's 1533-position model. The record is from RNAcentral. Lineage: Bacteria; Pseudomonadati; Bacteroidota; Bacteroidia; Bacteroidales; Prevotellaceae.
UGAGGAAUAUUGGUCAAUGGGGCGAGAGCCUGAACCAGCCAAGUAGCGUGCAGGAUGACGGCCCUAUGGGUUGUAAACUGCUUUUAUAAGGGAAUAAAGUGGGUCACGUGUGACUUUUUGCAUGUACCUUAUGAAUAAGGACCGGCUAAUUCCGUGCCAGCAGCCGCGGUAAUACGGAAGGUCCGGGCGUUAUCCGGAUUUAUUGGGUUUAAAGGGAGCGUAGGCCGGAUGUCAAGCGUGUUGUGAAUGCCGGGGCUCAACCUUGGCACUGCAGCGCGAACUGGCGUCCUUGAGUGCGCACGCCGCGGGUGGA